GAGAGGAACCGUUGAUUCACAUAAUUGGUAUUUGCGCCUGUCCGAUCGGGCAAUGGCGCGAAGCUACCAUGUGCUGGAUUAUGGCUGAACGCCUCUAAGCCAGAAUCCGUGCUAGAAACGAUAAUGUUAUAUCCCGCGCAUCUAAGUUGCGUAAAGAUAGAGCUUCGGCUCGCAUACCAUAUUUGUAGUGAUCCUCAAUAAGCGGAAAUGCUUGUUGGGAUGCUGCUAAUUGCCUUUAAACAUACGCGGGGGUGAAUCCUUUGCAGACGACUUAAAUGGAACGGGGUACUGUAAGCGGU
Molecule: ribosomal RNA, 299 nt
Filed under: Ochromonas sp. CCMP1393
Lineage: Eukaryota; Chrysophyceae; Chromulinales; Chromulinaceae
Description: partial Eukaryotic large subunit ribosomal RNA
Rfam family: Eukaryotic large subunit ribosomal RNA
Source: RNAcentral